AAGUCGAGGGGCAGCAUGGUCUUAGCUUGCUAAGGCCGAUGGCGACCGGCGCACGGGUGAGUAACACGUAUCCAACCUGCCGUCUACUCUUGGACAGCCUUCUGAAAGGAAGAUUAAUACAAGAUGGCAUCAUGAGUCCGCAUGUUCACAUGAUUAAAGGUAUCCGGUAGACGAUGGGGAUGCGUUCCAUUAGAUAGUAGGCGGGGUAACGGCCCACCUAGUCUUCGAUGGAUAGGGGUUCUGAGAGGAAGGUCCCCCACAUUGGAACUGAGACACGGUCCAAACUCCUACGGGAGGCAGCAGUGAGGAAUAUUGGUCAAUGGGCGAGAGCCUGAACCAGCCAAGUAGCGUGAAGGAUGACUGCCCUAUGGGUUGUAAACUUCUUUUAUAAAGGAAUAAAGUCGGGUAUGCGAUACCCGUUUGCAUGUACUUUAUGAAUAAGGAUCGGCUAACUCCGUGCCAGCAGCCGCGGUAAUACGGAGGAUCCGAG
RNAcentral lists this ribosomal RNA (490 nucleotides) under uncultured Bacteroidales bacterium. Its description in RNAcentral is "bacterial SSU rRNA". It matches the Rfam family "Bacterial small subunit ribosomal RNA", at positions 59 to 538 of the family's 1533-position model. Lineage: Bacteria; Pseudomonadati; Bacteroidota; Bacteroidia; Bacteroidales. The record is from RNAcentral.